CCUACGGGUGGCAGCAGUGAGGAAUAUUGGUCAAUGGACGAAAGUCUGAACCAGCCAAGUAGCGUGAAGGAUGACUGCCCUAUGGGUUGUAAACUUCUUUUAUAUGGGAAUAAAAUGUUCCACGUGUGGGAGUUUGUAUGUACCAUAUGAAUAAGGAUCGGCUAACUCCGUGCCAGCAGCCGCGGUAAUACGGAGGAUCCGAGCGUUAUCCGGAUUUAUUGGGUUUAAAGGGAGCGUAGGUGGGUUCUUAAGUCAGUUGUGAAAGUUUGCGGCUCAACCGUGGAAUUGCAGUUGAAACUGGUGGUCUUGAGUACAGUAGAGGUGGACGGAAUUCGUGGUGUAGCGGUGAAAUGCUUAGAUAUCACGAAGAACUCCGAUGGCGAAGGCAGUUCACUGGACUGCAACUGACGCUGAGGCUCGAAAGUGUGGGUAUCAAACAGGAUUAGAUACCCGUGUAGUC
Molecule: ribosomal RNA, 460 nt
Filed under: uncultured bacterium
Lineage: Bacteria
Description: partial 16S ribosomal RNA
Rfam family: Bacterial small subunit ribosomal RNA
Source: RNAcentral